CUCCAUGUUGUUGGCCGCUGUGCUGUGUCCAUCCACGGCGAUUCUUCCCACAGAGUUCUGAAGCAAAAGGCUUACAAUUAAAGGAAUAAAACAUUUAAAGAUAAUUCGGGAGUACCAUGGACAAAGCGUGUGGGUCGCUUAGACUCCAGCAGUAACUCCUGAUCUGCAGUUCCCAGGGGUGUCCGGUAAGGAGAACAUCACUACAGCGGUUUUAAAGAAGCGUCAGGAGGAGAUGCGGCCCCUGAACAUCGACGAGGUGGAAGCACCAGAGGAGGUGCAGGUGCUGGAGCCCGAGGAGGAUUUCGAGCGGUUCCUGCUCCCGGUCAUCAACGAGAUGCGCGAGGACAUCGCGUCUUUUAUACGCGAGCCCGGGCCCGCGUACCUGCGGACCAGGAGCAAGCUGUGGGAAAUGAACAAUAUCCUCAUCUAGAUCAAAACGCUGGUGGAGGCCUCGGAGGAGAGUGCCCUCAACCACGUGCAGCACCUGAGUGGCGAAGCCGACGAGAGAGUGUCGGAGUUGUGCGAGAAGGCCAAGGAGAAGGCCAAGGAGAUCGCGAAGAUGGCAGAGAUGCUGGUCGAGCUCAUUUGGCGAAUAGAGAGAAGUUCAUAGUUGAGGACUAUAGUCAACUGGUAAGGAUGAACUAACACAUUGAGGAAACUGAAACAGCUUAUCAUCUUCUCUGUUUUGUUUUUGUAUGUUUUUUACCCCCAUGUAAUAGUCUCCCUUAUGGUCCAUGAUUGAUAACCUUGAUAUGGGUUUACAUCAUCAAAUGUAUUUGGUUCUGGAAGGAUAACUUUUGUGGGAGAAAUACUGUUGUAAGAGAAACGGGGCUUAAUCAAAAGUUGUUUUUGCGGUACGUUUAUUCUUGUUACUUUGCUGUGCUUUUGAAAUGUUGGGCAUGGCCUUGUAUUUUGCUGUUACCUUUGUGACCUGAUUGUAUUUUGGAACAUGUCAAGACUUGGGAUCAGAAUCUUCCAACUUUAGAGGUGCAGUGGAAGGCACUGCACUACUUGGUUGAGCCUCGUGAAGAAUGUAUUAAUGAGACUGCUUUGCAUAAAGCUGGGAAGACCGAGAAGGCAAUUGGAGAUGAAAGUGGUUUUGUAUAUAUUUUGGAACUUUCGUUCCUCUGUGAGACGAAAGAGGAGAGCUAUGUUUUGUGGCACAUUGUCUGAUGUAUAUUGUGUAAUCUGUCAGGUGAGUUGAUUUAGACGACAUAGCUGACCUUAUAUGUCAAGGCAGUGAGUAUGGACUAUUGUAAUACCCUCACACAUAACGAGGCUUCAGAGAAUGGCACUGAAGAGACAGUCUACAAAGAGUCUUGAGAGACUGGAGAAAGGAAAAGACAUUAUCAGGGCCUGGAAAGUCUCUUCCAGUUCAUCAGGGUAGUAGACCUGUCAGAUUGGAGGUUAAAGUCAAACUUAUAAUAAGUGUUAAUUUGCCUUGAAAAACAAAGACCUCAAAAGCCUUUUUUAAGAAAUAAAUUUUUCGUUCACAUGACCAAAGCCCCUCCUGUGUGUGUUAACAAAAGAAUCAUAAAUUUUUUUGAAAUGGAAAAAAAA
This is an RNA transcript of Sapajus apella (tufted capuchin), 1560 nucleotides long. It is a transcript of the gene named MORF4 family-associated protein 1-like 1, with no coding region annotated. The transcript has a single exon. NCBI's taxonomy places the organism in Eukaryota, Metazoa, Chordata, Mammalia, Primates, Cebidae. The record is from RefSeq and is a predicted model, not a curated record.